RNAcentral lists this small RNA (68 nucleotides) under Psychrobacillus sp. OK032. RNAcentral's name for it is "Bacillaceae-1 RNA". It matches the Rfam family "Bacillaceae-1 RNA". Lineage: Bacteria; Bacillati; Bacillota; Bacilli; Caryophanales; Bacillaceae. The record is from RNAcentral.
AAGUAAGGAAGUUAGCCUAAGACCGUCGCAUCCUUGCGACAACAGCUAACCGAGCUGUAUCACGCAGG